UGAAAGCCCCACUAAGCUUGAAUGCUGGUGU
Molecule: non-coding RNA, 31 nt
Filed under: Rattus norvegicus (Norway rat)
Lineage: Eukaryota; Metazoa; Chordata; Mammalia; Rodentia; Muridae
Source: RNAcentral